GACGAACGCUGGCGGCGUGCCUAAUACAUGCAAGUCGAGCGAACAGACGAGGAGCUUGUUCCUCUGACGUUAGCGGCGGACGGGAGAGUAACACGUGGAUAACCUACCUAUAAGUCUGGGAUAACUUCGGGAAACCGGAGCUAAUACCGGAUAAUAUAUUGAACCGUAUGGUUCAAUAGUGAGAGUCGGCGUUGCUGUCACUUAUAGAUGGAUCUGGGCCGCUUGAGCUAGUUGGUAAGGUAACGGCUUAUCAAGGCAACGAUGCGUAGCCGAGCGGAGAGAGGGGUCGGCCGCACUAGAGGGGGAACGCGGACAAUGCUCCUGCGAGAGGCAGCAGACGGCUACGGUACGCAGCAGGGGGGAGUAUGGCGGAACGGGGCCAAGUGUGAGGUAGCGAUGUUGCGUGCGGAAUGCUCUGUUUUUAGGGAAGAACAGAUGUGUAAGGAGCUGUACAGGUCUUGACGGUACCGAAUCAAGAAGCACCGGCUAACUACGUG
RNAcentral lists this ribosomal RNA (497 nucleotides) under uncultured bacterium. RNAcentral describes it as "partial 16S ribosomal RNA". It matches the Rfam family "Bacterial small subunit ribosomal RNA", at positions 28 to 507 of the family's 1533-position model. The record is from RNAcentral.